CCUACGGGAGGCAGCAGUGAGGAAUAUUGGUCAAUGGACGAGCGUCUGAACCAGCCAAGUAGCGUGAAGGAUGACUGCCCUAUGGGUUGUAAACUUCUUUUAUAAAGGAAUAAAACGAGGCACGUGUGCCUUUUCGCAUGUACUUUAUGAAUAAGGAUCGGCUAACUUCGGGCCAGCAGCCGCGGUAAUAAGGGGGGUCCGAGCGUUAUCCGGAUUUAUUGGGUUUAAAGGGAGCGUAGAUGGGUUGUUAAGUCAGUUGUGAAAGUUUGCGGCUCAACCGUAAAAUUGCAAUUGAUACUGGCAGUCUUGAGUAUAGUUGAGGUAGGCGGAAUUCGUGGUGUAGCGGUGAAAUGCUUAGAUAUCACGAAGAACCCCGAUUGCGAAGGCAGCUUACUAAACUGUGACUGACAUUGAAGCUCGAAAGCGCGGGUAUCGAACAGGAUUAGAUACCCGAGUAGUC
RNAcentral lists this ribosomal RNA (460 nucleotides) under uncultured bacterium. RNAcentral's name for it is "partial 16S ribosomal RNA". It matches the Rfam family "Bacterial small subunit ribosomal RNA", at positions 338 to 795 of the family's 1533-position model. The record is from RNAcentral.